UGUGUUCCCUCUGUGUGCUGCCCCAUCUCUGCACAAAUAGCUGACGCAGCAGACCCCAAGAGAACCCCCAAAGACCACACACUCUAGUAAGAAAAAUACUUCUGCUUGAAAUUCAUAGUGGCAGACAUGUCAUGUUGUGAACCAUCAAGCCCACAUCUAGCAAGCAUUUUGCAGAUGCUCACAGGCUGGUUGUGAUUUUUCUCCAAAGAAAUGUAUUCAAGCAAAGGAAGUCAUGCAC
Mauremys reevesii (Reeves's turtle) is the source of this 238-nucleotide long non-coding RNA. RefSeq lists it as uncharacterized. The transcript is spliced from 3 exons. The record is from RefSeq and is a predicted model, not a curated record. Lineage: Eukaryota; Metazoa; Chordata; Testudines; Geoemydidae.